GGCUUUAACGAAAUCACCCGGAAUGCGCCCAAUCUCAUCCGAUCUUGGAAACGGAGCAGAUUUGACCCUGGACAGCACUUGGGUGGGUGACCGCCAUGCAUUCCAGGUUGUCUUAGGUG
RNAcentral lists this ribosomal RNA (119 nucleotides) under Petromyzon marinus (sea lamprey). Lineage: Eukaryota; Metazoa; Chordata; Hyperoartia; Petromyzontiformes; Petromyzontidae. The record is from RNAcentral.